CAGUAGCCGCGGGAAUACGGAGGGGGCUAGCGUUGUUCGGAAUUACUGGGCGUAAAGCGCACGUAGGCGGCUUGGUAAGUUAGAGGUGAAAGCCCGGAGCUCAACUCCGGAAUUGCCUUUAAGACUGCCGAGCUAGUAGGUGAGAGAGGUAAGUGGAAUUCCGAGUGUAGAGGUGAAAUUCGUAGAUAUUCGGAAGAACACCAGUGGCGAAGGCGGCUCACUGGCUCAUACUGGACGCUGAGGUGCGAAAGCGUGGGGAGCAAACAGGAUUAGAUACCCCUGUAGUCCCUGUCUCUUAUAU
This 301-nucleotide ribosomal RNA is filed under the name uncultured bacterium. Its description in RNAcentral is "partial 16S ribosomal RNA". It matches the Rfam family "Bacterial small subunit ribosomal RNA", at positions 509 to 809 of the family's 1533-position model. The record is from RNAcentral.